This 65-nucleotide transfer RNA is filed under the name Phthorimaea operculella (potato tuberworm). Its description in RNAcentral is "tRNA-Ile". Lineage: Eukaryota; Metazoa; Arthropoda; Insecta; Lepidoptera; Gelechiidae. The record is from RNAcentral.
AAUAAAGUGCCUGAUAAAAAGGAUUAUUCUGAUAGGAUAAAUUAUGUAGUUUUCUACCUUUAUUA